ACGAGGCAUUUUUUCUCGGGUCAAAGGAGAGCUUGGUUUGAAAGUAUUUGUUACUGAUAAUCCUUCAAUAAGAUCCUCAAACCCACUUCCUGCAAUGGACUCCUCUCUGUCUGCAGAUUCACGUUCAACCCAAGCUCAAGCACCAGAACAACAGAUUCCAAAUUCAGUUCCAAAACUGUUCUCCAGUGGCAAGAAUGAGUCAAGGCAUACAUUUCAUCACCUUCCAAACACUAGCCAGCCAAUGCCAC
RNAcentral lists this unclassified non-coding RNA (248 nucleotides) under Hevea brasiliensis (rubber tree). Lineage: Eukaryota; Viridiplantae; Streptophyta; Magnoliopsida; Malpighiales; Euphorbiaceae. The record is from RNAcentral.